AUUUGAUGUUGUGCGUGUGUGUGUGUGUGUGUGUGUGUGUGUGUGUGUACUACGUUACGUAUGCUCAUGCCUACCAUACUCCACACACACACACACACACACACACACACACNNNNN
RNAcentral lists this microRNA precursor (117 nucleotides) under Bigelowiella natans CCMP2755. RNAcentral's name for it is "miRNA EPrBNAG00000013614". The record is from RNAcentral. Lineage: Eukaryota; Cercozoa; Chlorarachniophyceae.